UGCAGCUCCACGCUCCACUGCUCUGGGACAGUUUAUAGUCCCGGGAGCUGAGGACGGGAUGACUGACGGUUCUCCCUCAUGACCACAGACCUCCUGCUCUUCAGAAACAUGAGCUUCAUCUCCGUCCUCGUCUGGACUCUGCUCUGCUGCUGCUUCACAGAGUCCAGGGGACAAGUCACAGUGACCCAGCCUGGAGCAGUGAGAUCCGCUGUGGGAGGCUCCGUCACCAUCUCCUGUAGAACCAGUGAGACUGUUUAUAAUUCAAACCGUCUGGUCUGGUACCAGCAGAGAGAUGGAGAAGCUCCCAAACUGAUGAUUCACACGACUUCCACUCGAGCUUCAGGGAUUCCAGGUCGUUUUUCAGGCAGUGGCAGUGGCACCGACUUCACUCUGACCAUCCGUGGAGUCCAGGCUGAAGAUGCUGCAGUUUACCACUGCAUCGGGGAGUUUGAUGCCAACAAGUGGGAUGUGUUCACACAGUGAAAAACCACCGUACAAAAACCUCGUGAACAGAAACUGAAGUGGCAGCUGGACGCUUCACACUUCACUGAGGACACACAGACACACACACACACACACACACACAUGGAGGGGGGGCAGAGAACAAGUCAAUGAGAGCUGAGAGUCGGAAUGAAACCGCCCGUCAGUGUUUCACUUCCCUCUCUGAGAUCUGAACCGUGGCAACAGACGAGUUUCAGUGCUGAAGAUAAAAAGUUUGAAAAGUGAGAAAAUCUUAACUGGUACAAGCUGCCUCGGAUAAGUCAAAUACUUAUGUAGUGUUCAUUUCAAUUAGCACAAGAGAAACAUCCCAAAAAUAUGGACGUUUAUAUAUAUAUAUAAGUAAACAGAUAACUCUUCAUAAACCAUCAUGUCAGUUUUCUGAGGACAUGAUGUAUAUGAGGAGUUAUCUGAGGACAUGAUGGUAUAUGAGGACUUUAUGGUAUAUGAGGAGUUAUCUGAGGACAUGAUGUAUAUGAGGAGUUAUCUGAGGACAUGAUGG
This is a non-coding RNA of Pleuronectes platessa (European plaice), 1000 nucleotides long. The record is from the annotation of a RefSeq genome assembly. NCBI's taxonomy places the organism in Eukaryota, Metazoa, Chordata, Actinopteri, Pleuronectiformes, Pleuronectidae.